AAUGUUAAAGUUCUUAUUUCAUGGUAUAACUUUGGUAUGCUUGGACCUAGAGUCUUCAAACUUGACAUGAAGGUUGGCCAGGAUUAACAGAUGACCACUGGUCAUUUCAAGGUCAUUCAUUUGAAGGUCAAGGUCACUGUGACCUUCAAUAUAAAAAAUGUUAAAGUUGUUAUAACUUUGGUAUGCUUGGACCUAGAGUCUUGAAACUUGACAUGAAGGUUGGCCAUAACUAGUUAGUAACCACUGGUCAUUUCAAGGUCAUUCAUUUGAAGGUCAAGGUCACUGUGACCUUGAAUGUAAAAAUGUUAAAGUUCUUAUUUCAUGGUAUAACUUUGGUAUGCUUGGACCUAGAGUCUUCAAACUUGACAUGAAGGUUGGCCAGGAUUAACAGAUGACCACUGGUCAUUUCAAGGUCAUUCAUUUGAAGGUCAAGGUCACUGUGACCUUCAAUAUAAAAAAUGUUAAAGUUGUUAUAACUUUGGUAUGCUUGGACCUAGAGUCUUGAAACUUGACAUGAAAGUUGGCCAUAACUAGUAAGUAACCACUGGUCAUUUCAAGGUCAUUCAUUUGAAGGUCAAGGUCACUGUGACCUUAAAUGUAAAAAUGUUAAAGUUCUUAUUUCAUGGUAUAACUUUGGUAUGCUUGGACCUAGAGUCUUCAAACUUGACAUGAAGGUUGGCCAGGAUUAACAGAUGACCACUGGUCAUUUCAAGGUCAUUCAUUUGAAGGUGAAGGUCACUGUGACCUUCAAUAUAAAAAUGUUAAAGUUGUUAUAACUUUGGUAUGCUUGGACCUAGAGUCUUGAAACUUGACAUGAAGGUUGACCAGAACUAGUAAGUAACCACUGGACAUUUCAAGGUCAUUCAUUUGAAGGUCAAGGUCACUGUGACCUUGAAUGUACAAAUGUUAAAGUUCUUAUUUCAUGUUAUAACUUUGGUAUGCUUGUACCUAGAGUCUUCAAACUUGAAAUGAAGAUUGGCCAGUACUAGAAGAUGACCACUGGUCAUUUCAAUGUCAUUCAUUUAAAGGUCAAGGUCACUGUGACCUUAAAUGUUAAAAUGUUAAAUUUGUUAUAACUUUGGUAUGCUUGGACAUAGAGUCUUCAAACUUGACAUGAAGGUUUGCAAGCACACUUAGAUGACCACUGGUCAUUUCAAGGUCAUUCAUUCUAAGGUCAAGGUCACUGUGACCUUGAAUGUAAAAAUGUUAAAGUUCUUAUAACUUUGGUAGGUAAAAAUGUUAAAGUUCUUAUUCCAUGUUAUAACUUUGGUAUGCUUGUACCUAGAGUCUUCAAACUUGACAUAAAGGUUGGCCAGUACUAGAAGAUCACCACUGCUCAUUUCAAUGUCAUUCAUUUGAAGGUCAAGGUCACUGUGACCUUCAAUGUUAAAAUGUUAAAAUUGUUAUAACUUUGGUAUGCUUGGACCUAGAAUCUCAAACUUGACGUAAAGGUUUGCAAGCACACUUAGAUGACCACUGGUCAUUUCAAGGUCAUUCAUUUCAAUGUCAUUCAUUUGAAGGUCAAGGUCACUGUGAACUUAAAUGUUAAAAUGUUAAAAUUGUUGUAACUUUGGUAUGCUUGGACCUAGAAUCUCAAACUUGACGUAAAGGUUUGCAAGCACACUUAGAUGACCACUGGUCAUUUCAAGGUCAUUCAUUUGAAGGUCGAGGUCACUGUGACCUUGGAUGUAAAUAUGUUAAAGUUGUUAGAACUGGUGUGAUAGAAACCUUUUGGAGUGAUCAUAAGGCUGUCUGGAUUUCUGUGUAGGUAUGUGAAAGCAAAACAAUAAAUAGUAUUAUUUCAUCUAAGUUUAUUUUCUUACAUUUGAUAAUGAAAUUGAUGGAAACUUCAAACAAUAUGUUACUAAUUUGCUAAUAAAAAAAUUGAGAUCAAACUUUCCUAAUUGUCAAUUCAAGUUCAUAUUUGUGACCUUAAA
Molecule: long non-coding RNA, 1937 nt
Organism: Dreissena polymorpha
Lineage: Eukaryota; Metazoa; Mollusca; Bivalvia; Myida; Dreissenidae
Exons: 2
Source: RefSeq, a predicted model, not a curated record